Molecule: transfer RNA, 74 nt
Filed under: Flavobacteriales bacterium
Lineage: Bacteria; Pseudomonadati; Bacteroidota; Flavobacteriia; Flavobacteriales
Description: tRNA-Glu
Source: RNAcentral
GGCCCGUUCGUCUAUCGGUUAGGACCUCCCCGGUUUUCAUCCUGGAAAGAGGGGUUCGAUUCCCCUACGGCUAC